UAAGUUACACUUGAUGGGCACCUCACCCUUGAGGGGUAUUGUGGUUAUUUUGUAUUCUAUUUUGUAAUACACUAUAUAUAGAACCUCUUAGGGUUUUUAGUCUUAGAUGUUUAUUGAUAUUGAAAGUUGUAAAAAGAACAUUUCUCUCUUGUGAGAAAGGCCUAUGGCCGAAAUAUUGUAAUUAGGAUUUCUAACUUGAGUGCGGAAUCAUUCGUAUUGGAUUCAUGCUUGGAACGUUGGGUGUCAGAGGAGGUUGAGGUCUCUCUUGUGCUCACUAAAGAGAUAGGUAUUUUUAGUAUGUAGUGUUAAGGGUCCAAGAGUGGAAUAGGCUCUUGGGUUCUUAAGAGUAUGCCUUCACUUUGUCUAUCUAUCUAUCUUUACGUACAUUUCUUAGAUUCUUUAUUGUUGUUCUAGUCAAAACCGUGUGUUGUUGUUUCCAUUGUGUUAUUGUUCAUCUUGUUACCUUGACACUCUCUUUGUUAGUUUGUGGUGGCUGUUUUGGUGUCAAAUACACCAUUGUUAUCUCGUAUUAUUGUUGUUGUAGUGAAUCCGAGAGUGGUCUCCAAAAAGGUCCUCGGAUCCUUAGGAUUAGUGGACUAAUUUGGAGUGUGUUUUCAUGCUUUCGUUGUCUUUCUCGUAUCAUUUGGUAUCAGAGCAUGGCUUGAUCUUGUUCCUACAAGAUCAAUCUUGGGCUUGCUUGUUAGAAAAUUAAAAAAAAAAUUAUUGUUGAAAAAUUGAAAAUUCCAGAAAAAAAAGAGAAAUAUGUCCAUUUAGUGUUCUUGGCUGAAAAUUGUGUUUUUGUUGUGUAUUGGCCAAUAUUUUUUCUUGUCUUUGUUGUCUCUCAGUGUUAGUUUUGUUCCUCACUAACACAUUAAGUCUAUAUCUUAGAUUUGAGCUUGAAAUAUUGAUGUUGUUAAUGUGAACAAAGUGUGGCCGAUUGUUGUUUGUAUUGUUGUUGCGGGUUCAAGACUUGAACGUGUGAUGUGUUGUUGGUUCAAGUUUUGAACGUGUAUUGUGGAGAUUGUGUUGUGGAAUUUAAGCUUGGGAAGUUGUUGUUGUUGUUUGGGAGGUCCAACUUGAACCUUAGAACUUCAAGACUCAAAGUUUGUGUUAUUGGUUCUUCACUAUCUCCAUAUAUUGCUGACGAAAAAAGUAGUUGUUGAUCUUAAAAGUUGAGGAAAAAGAGUGUGUAUUGUGUUAGUCUUGCAAGACAUAGAUCCAAGUUUCUAGGUGUAUCACUUGUGACUCAAAGACUUUUCCUACACACUAAAGACUUUACAUCACUUCUCAACCACUUUCCCAUGAAACAAGGGUCCAUGUUUAAGGAAAUGUACUACAAAAGUCAAGUCUUGAAAUGUGAAACUUGAAAAAAAGGCUCCAAGACUUAUUCUUCCCUCCUUAAAACAAAUUCCAUCAAUCCAAAUUAAAAUUGGUAAAGACUUGGACUUUGGAAAAUAAAAAUUGUAGAAACAGCAACCAAUUCACGCAUCAAAUUUUGGCUCAAAUUUUAUAUUUUCUUAGUUUCUUUUUAUUGUUCUGUAGUUUCGUUUGUUGGUUCCAAUACUAAUUGGCAAACUAGUACUCAUCUACUAGAUUGUUAGUUAGUCUUUUUGUUCGUUCAUUCGUGUUUAGCAUUUGUUGUGUGCUUUUUUUCUCUUUUGUGAAUUCGUUGUGUCUUGUUGGUUCAAGUCCAUAAAUAAUUUUUCUUUUGAGUCAACUCAAACGAAAAUCUAUUCCGAGCAAAGAUGGACUCAUCCCUCAAUCACUUACGAAGUACAAACCGACUUUCAACACUUGUGAAACCAAGUGUGAGAUAAAACUGAAAGUGAGGGUAUGGUGAGGCAUUUUGAACUAACAAGUUUGUUUUGUUGUUUGUUGUUGUCCUUUGCUUUAGGUACCAUGGCUAUCACUAAUAUCGAUGCCACAUUCGAUCGCAUCAAUGAUGAUAUUGAAGAAAUAAAAUGGCACGUGGAAAGGCUACGUCAAUUGUUACCUAAGCUUAUCCCACAAAAUCCAACUUUCCUUGUCCAAACACCUUUUACUGAGAGCUUCCCGAAGGAAGAGGUGGGCUGCCCCGACCCACACCAAGGUAAAGAGGAGAUUGAAACAUCUUUGGUACUUGAUAGUGAACUUAUAGAGAGUGAAGCACUUCUUAGUUCCAAAUCUGUCCGUGAGAUAGAUCAUGCUCUCUUUAGGUUUAAUGUUUUCUUUGAAGAUGUUAUAAACACUCCUAAUGAACCUAGUGGUGAAAAUUAUGGUAUAGCUUGCCUUAAAGGCUAUAGCCGAUAUGCUAACCCACUAUGGUAUGACAACAUUCCUCCUAAAGAUGGAAAUCUCUUCUUAGAAGAUGAUAGUACUCUUAUGGGAAAGGAAUGUGUAGUCUCGGAAAUGAGUACUCUUGGUGUUCAUGAUGAUCAAUUUACUCUUAAAUGUAGUUCACUACUUGAGCAUGUGAAUGGAGUGCUUAAAAAUUCAUAAGUUAGUGAUGGGGUCUAUAGAAUUGAUCUUGAUAAUGCCCAUGACUCUUUGAACAUCUUGUGUGGUAAAAACAUUGCGAUUAGUUUUGUUCAUAAAGAUCAUGUGUACGAAAAUGUUUUUGUGUGUGAAUGUGGGAGUGACAUUCUAGGGGAAGGAAGGGAUAGCCUCGGCUUAGGCCCUUGGCUAAUUAUUUCAUUUGUUCUCGGUACCAUCUUAGGGUGGGAAAUGAUGACUCUCAAACUAUUUUCCUUUUGUCUUGAUGCUUGUCCGAGCCACUUCCUUUGUAGUAAUUGUACUAAUCUUUUCAUGAUUAAAACAAAGAACCCGUGGCUAUAUUUCAAAUUUGUCCCCCCUCGGUAUGGCAUGUUGAUGUGUUAUUUUUGCCAACCCUAACCCCUCAUAUCAUGAGGAUGUGUGCUUGUUGUCUUCUCUUGAUUUGCAAGGUAUGGAUUAGAGGUCGAAUCUUUUUCAAGUAGGGGAGGAUGAUACGAGUACAACCACAAGGAUGGAUGAGAUCUGUCCAAGAAAGUGCACAAGUGAAGUGUGAAAGAGGGCCUAAAUACACUAAAAACAGCCCCUAAGUUACACUUGAUGGGCACCUCACCCUUGAGGGUUAUUGUGCUCAUUUUGUAUUCUAUUUUGUAAUACACUAUCUAUAGAAUCUCUUAGGGUUUUUAGUCUUAGAUGUUUAUUGAUAUUGAAAGUUGUAAAAAGAACAUUUCUCUCUUAUGAGAAAGGCCUAUGCCGAAACAUUGUAACUAGGAUUUUCAACUUGAGUGUGGAAUCAUUCGUGUUGGAUUCAUGCUUGGAACGUUG
This 3294-nucleotide long non-coding RNA is filed under the name Capsicum annuum. Its description in RNAcentral is "long non-coding RNA (CANN_LNC019342)". The record is from RNAcentral. Lineage: Eukaryota; Viridiplantae; Streptophyta; Magnoliopsida; Solanales; Solanaceae.